This 440-nucleotide long non-coding RNA is filed under the name Anas platyrhynchos platyrhynchos (common mallard). RNAcentral describes it as "lncRNA (ENSAPLG00000026919.1)". The record is from RNAcentral. Lineage: Eukaryota; Metazoa; Chordata; Aves; Anseriformes; Anatidae.
CAGUGAUCAGGAAGACAAAGCUGAUUGACUUCCAGCUGCAUCUGAGCCACCGUAGUUACUGCAGAUGUCACAUUUAGCACUGGAUUGUGAAAUGCUCGAAAACUGGAACCAUAGGAGCAUUAUUUAAUGCUAAGUGUUAUCCACAUCAUAUCUGAAGCUUGAACAUGCCAGGAAAACAUCCUUCACAUUCUGCAACUAAUCUAUCUGAGCUUUCAGGAUCAAUCGUGAAUUGGCUGGGGAACUGUUUAUAUUCAUAUUGUAAACCUGUGUUACUGUUGUGUCCUUCUUGUGAACCAGACCCCUCGUGGGUUGCCCUGCUGCAGAAAUGGGUCAGACAAGUUACAGGAACUGUGGAUUGGUUGGAUGGGGAUCCACCUAGCAACACCACCACACUAAUGCUGGAUUGGGAAAUUUGCCCUACAGGAGUUUGUCUUGAUUAA